This 432-nucleotide unclassified non-coding RNA is filed under the name soil metagenome. RNAcentral describes it as "partial contains 5.8S ribosomal RNA, internal transcribed spacer 2, and large subunit ribosomal RNA". The stretch from base 1 to 120 matches the Rfam family "5.8S ribosomal RNA", at positions 35 to 154 of the family's 154-position model. The record is from RNAcentral.
GAUGAAGAACGCAGCGAAAUGCGAUACGUAAUGUGAAUUGCAGAAUUCAGUGAAUCAUCGAAUCUUUGAACGCAUAUUGCGCUCUCUGGUAUUCCGGAGAGCAUGCUUGUUUGAGUAUCAGUAAACACCUCAACUUCCAUAUCUUUUUUGAAAUGGGAGUUGGACUUGAGUGAUCCCAACGCUUUUCCUCACCGAAAAGUGGCGGGUUACUUGAAAUGCAGGUGCAGCUGGACUUUUCUCUGAGCUAUAAGCAUAUCUAUUUAGUCUGCCUAAAAAACAGAUUAUUACCUUUGCUGCAGCUAACAUAAAGGAGAUUAGUUCUUGUGCUGACUGAUGCAGGAUUCACAAAGACGGCUUCGGCCGACUUUGUAAACUCGAUCUCAAAUCAAGUAAGACUACCCGCUGAACUUAAGUAUAUCAAUAAGCGGAGGA